Molecule: long non-coding RNA, 2290 nt
Filed under: Triticum aestivum (bread wheat)
Lineage: Eukaryota; Viridiplantae; Streptophyta; Magnoliopsida; Poales; Poaceae
Description: long non-coding RNA (TAES_LNC010452)
Source: RNAcentral
CCGAAAUAGAGUAAAAAUAACUUCUUAUUUACAAUUCUAGGAUUUGAUACAUCACCCCUGUGAAGAACAGACAUCAUCACUGUAACAAACAAACACAGCUGAUCUUAUCAAACAGCUUUUGGAAAUGUACACCGAUGUUUAAGAAAAGCGUAGUUAAACCUUCUAAACUAAAGAUUGUGACUUUUUUCAAUAAAGAAACAACAAUCCCUCUAUAAGUUGUCAGAACUCAGAACAAUUGGACCAAGGAACUUCUAACAAAUAACAAAACCAUCUACAAUAGCAAUCACGACCUUCAAUCCUAACUCUGCAAUGUUGAGCAAGAUUUUAUCUAUGCAGUUUGCACCUCAUCCUAUGCGUACAAAAGAUCUCUCUUUAUGUCACCAACUUUAAUGUCUGCAGAUCCAGCUGUUGACAUUGCACUCCCCAGAUGCUUCCGCAACUCUGCUCCACAAGGAGGAGACGGGGUGGAGGUGGGGAGCUGCUGCUUCUUCGAUCCAGCGCUCCAUGGGAGAGGACAAAGGAGGACGGGGCUCCGCCUGCCACGCCCAUCCUCGCCUCCCUCUAUAUUCAUAGGUGCUUGACCCCGCCGCCCUCUCCCUCCACGAGAACGCCGUGAUCCGGGGCUUUGCAAGAUAGCUUGUCAGCCAAUAUGGAUGUACAUUGACACGACAAAAAAACAGAAAUUAUGUUCAUACCUUGUGAGUUAUAUAUAUUCUAAGUAGACUAUAGAUUACAAAGAAUCGAAGCUUCUGUGCAUACUCAUUAUUCAGUAAACUUGUCCUGUAACAGGUUAAUAUUGUGUCAUUAUAGAACUUGGUACAGUUUAGUAACAGAAAUGAUCAACCAGAUGAUCUGCAAGAGCAGACUACCUUAUCAGAUUUUAGUGCCUACAUGACUCUCUUUCUUUGCAGCUGGUAACUUAAUUAUAACGGUAAUGCAGCACACGAAAUGAAACUCAAUCAAGGUAAUACAUAUGCUCCCCUCUGCGCCUUUAACUACUAGAACAAAAGAAGAAAUAGUAGUUAGCUUGAUGUAAAAUCCUGACUAAAAAGAAGAAAUAACAGUCAACUCAAUGUAAAAAACAAUUAUGCUGCAGAAAUACAAAUAGAAGUUAUGGAAGGCUAACCAGUUAUUCCUUCCCACUAAGAAAAUCUGUAGCACUAUCAACCAUAAGCAUUGCAUUAUUACAUACAGCUAAACUUAACAACAGAAAGAUCUAUGCUUUUAGUUUUACUUGAUUUUUGUUAGCAAGUAAAACUGUUGGAAGUGUAGCCGUACCAUGCCAGCUCUACAUGGACCAAAUAAACCACAGUAAGCUGAUGUUAGCUAUCAUUGGGCCUGUUUGGGACAACUCCGCUUCAUCAAAAUCAGUUUCACUCCACCAAAUCCACUAUGGAGCAGUUUCAUACAUAAGUUGUAGCACUACCAAACAGAAUAUUUGGUUUCCGUCUAACUCCAACUUCAAGAAUGGGAAAUCUGGUGGAAAGGAUCUAUUUGAUUGGAUGAGGGAGGAGAAACGAAGGGGUAUCCACUUACUGGUGGCAGUGGUGGGUAAUUGUCCCCCAACUCCAGCUUCUAGAGUUUUUUGGAGCACCCCCUAAAGAGCUUCGUAGAAAACUAAGAGUUGUACCUCAGAUUCUAGUUUUUUUGAGGAAUGGCAUAUCGUGGAGCUACUCCGUUUGGCUUGCGUUUUCUGGAGUAGAGCUAAAUUUUAAGGAGCAGAGUAGUCCCAAACAGGCUCAUUAUAAACAUAUCCAUGGGUGUACAUAUAUUCAAAAAUUCAGAUAACAAAUAGUUGUAUCAUAUCAGUGUUUCCCUACAAAAAAGAAACCGUAUCAUUGAACAUAUUGGAUCCGAUCUUCACCAAGUGGUAGCUCAGACUGCCUUGUACAAAGUUUGCAACCAGUAAUCGGAAGUCCUAUACAAGUAAAAUGUACAAGAAAUUGCAUACCAGCACCCGAGUCCAGUAGCAUUGGACUCUGCCUUGUAUGCUGAGCUUAUUGUUUGCAAGUGACUGAAAGUAUUACCAUCACCAUUGGAGUGUAUCCAGAUUCAGGCAUGUGUAUCUAUUACACCUCAAAUAUAAAAUUAGCUUCCAUGCAAAAGAAAAACUUAGCUUAAACAAAUUGUACUCUAAAAUACCUAGUAUUGUACUAUUUUGAAGAUCUCUGGAGCAGGUUUUUCAUUCCUUGGUCGUGUGUCUAAGUGUACAAAUUAAUUAGGUCAUACCACUCAAUUAUAAUCAAACAAAUUAGUGUAAUCUAUGGGGUGGGAGUGAAGUACCACUCAC